RNAcentral lists this ribosomal RNA (253 nucleotides) under uncultured bacterium. RNAcentral's name for it is "partial 16S ribosomal RNA". It matches the Rfam family "Archaeal small subunit ribosomal RNA", at positions 474 to 727 of the family's 1478-position model. The record is from RNAcentral.
UACCAGCACCCCGAGUGGUCGGGACGAUUAUUGGGCCUAAAGCAUCCGUAGCCGGUUCUGCAAGUCCCCCGUUAAAUCCAGCUGCUCAACAGAUGGGCCGCGGAGGAUACUACAGAGCUAGGAGGCAGGAGAGGCAAGCGGUACUCAGUGGGUAGGGGUAAAAUCCGUUGAUCCAUUGAAGACCACCAGUGGCGAAGGCGGCUUGCCAGAAUGCGCUCGACGGUGAGGGAUGAGAGCUAGGGGAGCAAACGGG